This is an RNA transcript of Egretta garzetta (little egret), 5815 nucleotides long. It is a transcript of the gene named insulin receptor substrate 4, with no coding region annotated. The transcript is spliced from 4 exons. NCBI's taxonomy places the organism in Eukaryota, Metazoa, Chordata, Aves, Pelecaniformes, Ardeidae. The record is from RefSeq and is a predicted model, not a curated record.
CACAUCAUCGCCUUGUACACCAAGGACGAGUACUUCGCCAUGCUGGCGGAGAACGAGGCCGAGCAGGAGGCCUGGUACCAGGCGAUCAGCGAGCUCAUGAGCCAGAGCAAGAGGGGCUUCCUGGAGCAGGAGGACCACGCUGAUCAGCAGGUGGACGAGGACGAUGAGCACUACGGGGCCGCCCUGAGGCCUGGCACCGUCUUCAAGGAGGUGUGGCAGGGGAACGUUAAACCCAAAGGGUUGGGACAAACGAAAAAUCUUACCGGGGUGUAUAGGUUGUGCCUCUCCAGCAAGGCCAUCCACCUUGUCAAGCUCAACUCGGAGGUGCCCUCCGUCCACUUGCAGCUCAUGAAUAUUCGCCGCUGCGGACACUCGGAGAAUUUCUUCUUCAUUGAAGUGGGCAGGUCUGCCUCCAUUGGGCCUGGAGAACUCUGGAUGCAAGUGGACGAUUCGGUGGUUGCCCAGAAUAUGCACGAGACUUUUCUGGAGACCAUGAAAGCUCUAAAGGCCUUUGCAGAGUUCCGGCCCCGAAGCAAGAGCCAGUCUUCAGGUGGUGGUAGCGGUACUAAUCCCAUCUCCUUCAUCACCACUAGGAGGCACUUGGGCAACCUGCCCCCCAGCCAGACGGGCUUGCAGAGAAGAUGUAGAACUGAGAGCGUUGCCGGAGGGACUCCUCCUACCACCAAAAGCAGCAACUCCUAUCGCUUCAGAACAUCCAGCGAAGGAGAAGGAACCAUGACUAGACCUUUUAGGUCAGUGACUGGGAGUCUGAUCCACCUGAAUACUGCGAGGAUGAAUUUGGGCCGGCAAGAAGGGAGUGGAAGGUACGUGAGAGCCGCUUUCAGCUCAUCUUAUCACACCAGGUCUGCUUCGCUGCCCGUUUCUCAUUUUCCCUCCACUACAAGUCCCAUCAGCGUUUCUUCCAGUAGUGGCCAUGGCUCUGCUUCGGACAUGUUGACCAGGCCUUCUAGCUCAUCUGUUUGCGGUUCCCCAAGCGAUGGGGGAUUUAUCUCUUCUGAUGAAUAUGGCUCCAGCCCUGGAGACUUCAGGUACUUCCGUGUCAGGAGUAACACACCGGAUUCCCUGGGAAACACACCCCCUAUUAGAGAGGAGAACUGUCUGAGCGAGUACAUGUCCAUGAGUAAGCAACAGGCGGAUGAUAGCUCAAGAGAUGAUUAUAUGGAGGCUGAAAAGUGUUUCAGGAAAAGAACUUACUCUCUAACAAAACCGACUUCUGUCGCAGUGCAGCAGAAGACGACACAAACUACAGCUUUGUUAGAUGAGGAUUCUGCAGGAAAUCACGGACGAUUGCUUUACCCUGAAACACCAAAAUUGAAAGAUAACCACGAAUCGGAGUACAAUGACGCUAACCUUGAUUCCUUAUGUAACCAAAGUAGGAGUAAAGCCAGGGAUGAUGGGUACAUGCCAAUGAUGCCAGGAGUGGCAUCUUCUCUAUCCAGCAACAGCGAUUAUUUGCCAAUGACUCCUAAAAGUAUGUCUGUUCCAAAACAGAUUAACAACUCAUGGUCACCGUCUCAGGUUGACUCCAGAGGAUAUAUGAUGAUGUUUCCAAAGGCUAGCUCUUCGCCUGUACGAAGUCCUUUAACUGGAUUUAUUUCUAAAGGAAGUAAUGAGAAGAUCAUAAACAAUGAAUAUAUGGAUAUGUCACCUGGUAAUUCAGCUCCAAAGCACCCCGGUGAUUCGAAUUAUAUUCACACCGCUUCUGUUCCCAAAGGUUUCAGUUCGUAUUUUUCUUUGCCCCGAAGCUUUAAGGCGUUAUCAGGACAAAACGGUGACCACAGUGAAUAUGUUCCAAUGUCUUCACCUGGAAAACUCUUGUAUGGUGGACCAGAAAAUGUAAAAGGGGUCAACACUGAGGCUCUGGCUAAUGGCAUCUCUAAAUCGCCAGUGGUGAAAGGCUCAGAUGAAGGACUUGUGCAGAGCAGGGCUACUAGGCCUACGAGACUCCCCCUAGGCACAAGAGGGAGUAAUACUAUCCCCAGAAUGUACGAUCGUACGGUUCCACCUGAGCCAGCGAGUCCCGGUGAAUACAUAAAUAUUGAUUUUAAUGAAAAGGCGAGUAAUACACCGUAUUCCUUAUCUGCAGAAGGAUCGCCAUCGUCUCUAGGCUCCAGUAGUGACCACAGACAGUCCCCGCUCUCUGAUUAUAUGAGUGUUGACUUGGAUGUACAGUCACCGAAAGUAGCGAAGGAACUGUCCAACUCCCUAACAGAUAUUUCAAUUUAUGCAAGUUCCAGUAUUCCUAGAAACCAACCAAAUCCUGACUACGCUAGGCUUUCAUUUGGUACUGCUUGCGUUAGCACCGCAAGUAACAGGACUGAUGACUACACGGAGAUGACAUUCAACAUGGCAGCAACGCCACCUCGGCCAUUUGCCGCCGAAUCCGACGACGGUGUAAAGAUCGAUAGCCCUUCUUCCAUAGUUAAUAGGCUGUGCAUUGUUGAUCGAUAUGCUGGUAGCAGUAGCUUCUCUGUUCCGAGCUCUGAACCUCCUAUGGGACCGAAAGUGAUCCGAGCCGAUCCUCAAGGCAGGAGGAGGCACAGUUCUGAAACGUUCUCUUCUGCUGGGACUGUGACCACCUCCUCCUCUUUCUUUACCGAUAGUAGCAAAAGACACAGCUCUGCCUCAUUUGACAAUGUUUGGUUAAAACCAGAUGAAAACAUUUCUGACGGUCAGGAAAGCAAAAUGUCCAGGGAUACCUCAACUGGAUUUCAGAAUGGCUUAAACUACAUCGCUCUGAAUUUACGCGAUGAUCCUAUAAGCUGUGAGGCAAGUACAACAGCGCCAACUUGCCACCUCCAAAAUGGUACUUCAGGUUUGGACAGUGGAGCUUACGUGAGCAUAGAUUUCGGCAGAUCCGAUGGUCUGAAGUGUAACGCUGCGAGAAAAGGUUUGGCGUGCUCCUUUUGAGCUCUGGCCUCCAAAAUAUCCUUGUGUCCUCUGGAGAAGCCAUCUCCGGGGGGCUGACCAGGGCGGUGGGGGGCUCCUGCAGCCCAUGCCCUCCACCUUCACCACCUCGGAGCCUCCGAGGGCUUAGCUGAGCCGUAACCCUUCCCCUGCUGUACAGAGGGAUCUGCCUUUGCAUAGCAGGUGAGGAAUGCCUGGGACGGAGGAAGAGGAGGCUGAGCGGUGUCUUCCAGGUCUGAACCUUGGGAGAGAAGGCUGCUAGCUUUCAGGUGGUCUGACCAAGCUUAAGACAACUCUUGGCUGAUGAAUCUUGCAUGACGAAGACAGGAGUAAGAUUAUCCAGCUUCACAGAAGCAGUGUUGCUUGCUUUGAGCACUUCAUGUCCUCCAUUAGUUUACCUUCACCUGGUCAAAAGGUGGAAAAAGAUGAGGUGUGGGAGAGAGGAGCCACCGAGGAGCUUAAUCUUUGAGUACUGACUGUAUUGCCAUGGGAACCAUUGUUGGAAGAGAAGACUUUUCUGCUGGUAACUCCAGAAACUGUGUGGUGCUUUUGGAAGCAAAGCUCAGCUCCAGCCGGCUACUUUCAUUUCCACCAGCACGGACAUAGACACACAUCCUUUUAAUUAAUUUUUUUUCAUAGACAUCAGCUCCCUACAGUUGAAUUAAUUUGAAUUGAGAUUUUUUUUCAUAGCUGUGCUUUGGUGAUGGAAUUUGGUCUUUCAUGUCAUACCUAUUUGGGAGGCAGUGUGAAUGCUGAUAGGAGAUCCCUCUAUGCCCCUUUCUUCCUCCUGCCUCUCCCAUUACUUUUUUUUAAUUUAUAUUCUGAGAAGUCAAAGCUGGUUUCUGAUUGUCUGCUUAACAUGGGUUUUGCUUCUCUGGUACAUUAACAAGUGGUUAGCUUAAAACAUGUAUUGUUUAGAAAUAUUUUGGCAGUUCAGGAUUUUUUCAGGUGGUUGGGCGGAAGGAGGGAGGGAGAGGUGCACCUUAGCUCGAGGGGCGAACCCGUGGGACUGAACUGGUCUGAGAAGGAGAGACCUCUUCUGCCUUUUCUUUUUGUUUUUUAAGGUUUUGCUUUUAUGGUACAAGAGGUAUUUCUUGAUCAUAGGCUAGAAUAUUUUAAAUCAAAUGUCUGUCAGAGCUUAAACUGAAUUAUUUUUUUUUUUGCUCAGAAUUUUGGUAUGUACAAAGUAGGAUUAAUGGGCUGGUUGUCUUGUAGAUUGUUUUUGUUCUUACCCUCAAGAUACUUGUUUAUAAAUACGAAUUGUGUAAAAUGAGGUUUUUGUUCAUGCAUUCAAAUGGAGAACUGCAGAGUCGUACCCAGCGUUUGUGACUUCUGCAUUAUAUUUGUCAGCUGUAGCUUUUUAAAGGGAAACCACCCUAAUUGAUCUUACUUUCAACCAAAGCCCCAUUUUUUAAUUUGGGACUAUUUUUGUUCUUUCUUCCUGGCAUAAUGGGGAAAGAAGUAAAAUGUUGGCUCAUCGAUUGUCUUUAUCCCACUUACAGAAAUGCGAACAAUAACUAUUUGACGUUUUUAAAAGAAGCCCUGAUUUUUUUUUUUUCUGCAAUUUAAGUGCUUCACUCUUGUACUGAACUUUUUUUUUUUGGUUGAAAUGAAUUUAGGUUUUUAACACUGCUAUGAACUUAAAGAGCAUGACACUCGUCGUUGGUACAUGCAAUGUAUAAUAAAAGGCACUGACGAUUAAUAAAGGGUUUAGAAGUGGUACACAAAUCCUCAUGCUGUACUGCACCACACAGCUGGUAAUCCUCUACAUUGUAUAUUGUACAACUGAUUUGUCAGGCUGCCUCACCUCUAACAUACAACCUUUAAAUUGCUAGUACAGUUUGCAUAACAAAUUAGACACUGUCAACUUCGAUUGUUCGGUGAUGUGUACCCAAAUCUAUUUUUGAGUAGUAUUAAAAUGUACAUGUCACUAAAAUAUGAAGACUUUUUUUUUUUUUGGACACAUGGUACCGAUCCAUUUACGCAGUGUCUAGUGACAGGAAAAACUGUUGCUACAGGGUUUAAAAGCACAGAUCUGUUUUUGAUUCUGGAAGAGAAGUUUAAGUUGGUACAGUUACUUGUUGCUGCUAAACAUACACUAAUGAAAAAUACGACCACUCUUACAGACCAUGAUACUGUCUUGCCAUAUAGCUUUUGUUUGGUCUCCUAAAUUAAUAAUGCAAUACAUAGACAGCUUUUUAUAAAGCUUUACAUCUUUUCUAAAAAAUGAAAAAAUUUGGAUGAAGAUAGUUCUAAACAUUUAAUGUGAACGGAAAAGGUUGUUUUGAAGAAAUUUGUUACACACAUAUUUCAUAUUAGAUCCCUGAGGCUGCCAUUGUACAAUAUACAGCACUGAUUUAAUAAAUGCUGAAUAAGUAAGUAAAUGGGUAACCUCAAGUAUAGUGGUACAAAUACUAAUAGGUACGGCAUAAUAAAUAUGCAAUCUUUUUGAAUCUCUUAGUUUACAGCAACUAAUUUAUUCAGUAUUGUGCUGGAAGAACAUUUUCAGAUGAUGUAAAACAUAUCACUAUAUAUACUACCUUCCAGCUACCCGUUUAUGCUGCUGUAUAGUACAAAAAUACCAAUGAUAGAACAAUGUUUGUCCUGUAAAUUUAAUUUGAUAUUGGACAGUUAUUGUCUGUACAAACUAAAACAUAUAUGGUUGAAACUGUUCAUUAUAUUUGCUAUUUCUGCUUCACAGAUCUGUUUUAAAGUUGAGCUGAUUGAUCUGGCUUUGUCUUCCAUUGUAAAUAUUGUUAUGUUGUUUUCUUUGUAAAACACAUCGCGUUUGCGGUUUUGGGAGACUGGCUUGAAGCUCUGUAUAGUGUUUAUAUUUAUCUGACUUGGCUUUCCAUAGAGCUACUUGCAGUAAAUACGUGUUCAUGUA